This is an RNA transcript of Carassius auratus (goldfish), 5115 nucleotides long. It is a transcript of the gene named transcriptional activator MN1-like, with no coding region annotated. The record is from RefSeq and is a predicted model, not a curated record. The transcript is spliced from 4 exons. NCBI's taxonomy places the organism in Eukaryota, Metazoa, Chordata, Actinopteri, Cypriniformes, Cyprinidae.
AAGCCCCGCCCAUUGUGCGUCAGACCCCGCCCCCUGCGCAUGUGUGCCUGUGUCGGCAUUGGUGAGAAAUCAGCGCUGGAACAGAUGAGGGAAUGUCAAACUUGUUGCCGAUGCCCGAGGCUCGACACAUCCGAUUCAAGGAUAAACGACAAAACCCUCCUGGAGCCAGAAGCAUUUGAUGGAACAGCGCGUGUUUUAUGGACGAUAUUAAAUAAAAUGCCGAUUAAUUUCUGUGCUGAAUACAUUUCAUAAUGUGACAACAAAAGGGAUCCAGGGCUCUCCAGUUACAAACAGCGCGCACACACAGCGGUGCAUCGAGUCUCCUCACAGGACUGAAAGCACGCUCGAAGUUCUCCUCGGAGGACCGUCGAUUGAAUGCAUUUAUCUACUCUUUUUGAAUUCAUGUAAGUGUUUAAUAUAGAAUAAUUAGUCGGGAUCGCGCGCAUUGCAUUGGAGAUGUGAACAGGGGACAUGUGGUCCGCGCGCUGGUUUGCACUCCUCUGGAUUUGUGUUGAACGACUUGGAGAGUUACGCAUCGAAUAACGAUGUAAACGAGUUUAUUUUUAUUUUUUUUAAGAUGUGCAUUUUUCAGUGCCGUUGCUCUAAGGACAUACAAAGAGGAGUUCGCGUUUUUACGCUUAUGCUGGAAUUGAGUGACAAACACACAGGAAUUUAAUCCCAGUGGACUGAAAAUGAACUCUAAUUAUAACAGUGCCGGAUUUCAUAUGAAAGGGCCGUCGGUAGCUGUGGAGCCCAUGAUGGGUCCUCUAAAUGAAUCCCCCAUACAGGGACUCAACUUUGUCUCAAAUAGAGACCAGUAUGGAUUCCAGACUCAUGCCCAUGGGGAUAUGCACGCUAUGGGAGUUCAGCCACAACAUCAACUCCACAUGCAAGGACCGUUCAACCAUCAACCUCCUAACCACGACCAGCAUUCACAUCUGUACCAGGACAACGUCCCCGCUUGCCUGCACGGGGAUAGACACAUGGGCUUCAAUAACAACGCAGGUAACCCGCAUAUGUUUGAAGGAGGAUUCGGUCAGCAGCUCGCAGAAGCACAGUCACGAGAAUGCAUUUCACAGCAGCAGCAGCAACAGAGAAUGGCCACAAUGCCUGAAUUUCAACCACAUGGCCAUCCGAACGGUACCCAUGCCGUUCCAGCACCGUGUCUUCCACUAGACCAGUCACCAAACCGGGCCGCAUCGUUCCACGGCCUGCCAUCCUCGUCCCCCGAAACCCACAGACUGGAACAUUACAGGCUUUUUCCACAGGGCAGGAUGGGGGGAUCAGAGCACUGUUUUCCCUGUGAUCCUCUGACGGGAAAUUUCGACAUGACAGGAUUCUCCACUGCGGACUCUUCAGAGCACAAACUUCCCUAUUGUGAAACGGGGAACCAAGUGGUCGGGGGUCAUUUUUCCACUUGUAAUCGAAGUGGCUCCCGAGGGCCCAUGAUGGGCGGCUCUAAAGUUGACCAGCAGUUACCUCAGCAGAACGUGUUUUCGGACCGAUUCGGGAACCGUGGGAAAAUGGAUCCGGGGGUUAACGCUAGACACCACCUCAUGCCCCAGCAAAGACCGGGACCCGUCGCCAGGCAGAACCCCGGUUCCCCUGCGCUUCCACGGUUUUAUCACACUCCGGACUAUGUAGCGAACAAUACGGAUGUUCAAGGUGGUGGUCCGAUGGUCCACGUUCAGCACGGCCACCUGGACCGGCCCAUACAUAGACUGAACAACCAUAACAUGCAUCCCUUUGGGGAACCGGUGUUUGAUGUCCCCCAGCUAGCCCCUCAGCCCCCACAUCACCCUCACCUCAGCUCACUGCCUUAUUUGAAUAUGGCAAAAAGACCACGGUUUGAUCUCCCAAACGGCUCUGCUGGAGAGAGCUGCAGCCCCCUAAGCAACAGCUUACAUAAUCGGCCCAAUCUUGAGAACCACCUCUCCCCCUCAGCUUUCCCUUCUCCCAUGGGGGACUUUGCGUCUCAUGUGACGGAUGGGUUUCCAUCAGGCCCCCUACCCUUGAGCUCCGGCCCACAGCAACAGCAGCGGCAGCAGAACGCGGCGAUGAUGAUCAAACAAAUGGCAUCGAGGAGCCAGCAGCAGAGAAUGAGACAACCCGACCUGCAACAGUUAAGUCUCCACGGGGACGUCACAUCAAACGGCAUGGUCUGCCGAGGCCCUCUGGGUAGUGUGUCUCAGUCCAAUUUCGAGAAGAAGCAUAAUUUUCAUGGAAACUUUGACAGCCCCCACCUACCUCAAGAAAACUCAUGGUUUCCUGAGCCGCAGCAGCAUUGUAGAGAAACAAACACGCAUGCCUUGGAGCAGGCAGAGAAUGGACACAACAUUAUUUUUAGGCAAGGCGUCACAAGCAUGGACAUGCAGUCUUUGAAUUCUCCGGGAGCGCAUCAUCCAUUCGAAAAUAAUGUCAGUAAUCCUCUGCAUAUGCAGUCUCCCGAUGAGAGCAACAUGCAGUCAGGCGCACCCACAGACAGGAGGCCGGCUGAAUUCGGAGGAAUGGCGAUGAGGAGGCAGCACAGCUUCCCUCCUGGAGGGCCGACUCAACAGGGAGCCCCCCAGAGCAAUCCUCCAGGAUUUAGCUCCUCUCCAGGGAACUAUCCCGCCCAUCCCGAGUACCUCUCCAGCCAGCACCUGUCAGUCAAUAAGCUUGGGGCCCUCUCUUUGGGGAAUUUGAACAAAGCCAGUACAAAAGACAGUGUGUUUGGCCAAAGCUGUCUGGCAGCCCUCUCCACGGCCUGCCAGAAUAUGAUCGCCAGCCUUGGGGCCCCGAACCUCAAUGUGACUUUUAAUAAGAAAAGUCAAAAUGAGGCCAAACGCAAAGCAGGCCAGGUUGAGCAGGACAUAAAUAGCAGUGGCAGUAGCGGCCCAGGGGCAGAGUAUUUCCAGAGCAACGCUUCUCAGAAUAGUCAAACGCCUUGCUCUGGGAAUAACAACAAUACGACUGCAGGUCAAAGUGGUACGGGCCAGAUGGCGAAAAGGGAAGCGAGCACCCUUUCCCCGAAUGACAACAUGGAGUCUGGAUGUGAGGGAAAAAUGGCAACAGGCAACGGCAAGGGGAGGGGGAAGAAGAGACGCGACAGCGGGCACAUCAGUCCUGGAAACUUCUCCCCUCCAUGCGGCGGUAACCCUGUUGUCAGUCCGACUCAGCAGGGUUCUGCUUUGAACAUGGGCAUGGAGGGCCCGGAGAGGUCCCUGGUCUCACCUUCCUUUGGAAAGCCCGAUCUUGCAACCUCGAUGGACAGCGGCAUUCAAAGCGUGGGCAAGUCUGAUGGCGUUUCGCCGUGCAUGGAUUAUUUAGACGAAGCCAGCCCCAACUACAGCGCUGAGGACCCCAGGCCUUGCAGAGCUGGCAUGAAGUGUAAUUCUGAAAACAGGGCCGGCUACAAUGACAAUACGUGCAUGGAACAGGUCCGGACGCCGCUGAGCAACCCGGGCCAGGACGAGGUUCAUCCUCUGGAGAUCUUGCAGGCUCAGAUCCAGCUGCAAAGACAGCAGUUCAGCAUCUCUGAGGACCAGCCGAUGGGAGGGAAAACGAGCAAAAAGGCAGACUGCCAGGCCGGUCUGAACGGAGAGUGCACCUUGGCCAGUUCUAGCCCGGUCGCAGGCAAGGGCUCUGUGAAUACCAUUGACCUUGACUCUCUCAUGACAGAGCAGCAUGCCACCUGGUAUGUCCCUGGCAACAAGACUCUGAUAGAGGACCCCAGUAAUGACAAGUGCCUGGGAUACUGGGAUCGAGCACGGGGCCAGAGUGACAACAAAGAAGGACAUGGGUAGGAGCGCUCCUCUGCUGGCUCUCCUUAGCGUUUCACAAAAAAAAAAAAAAGGUGCUGCACGAUCUCGCUGUGAGGGUGGGGGUGGGACCUGGAGGAAGCCACCCGCGGUGUCCGGAAACCUCGGGACGCGGGGGUGGGGAGGGGGGACGGAGGGGCCCCUGCUGUUCCUCUCACUUCCAGAUGCGACUUAAACUCAUCCAGAACAACUCUAACCACUUUGGGACCUCGCUGGCUGCUUUCUGUAACUGUAAGGAUGAUGGCUGGCUUGGUGUUUUCCAGCAGUAAUUGGAUACAUUUUUUUUUUUACUAGCCCCAGAGAAACCGCAAACUCUCCGGGUGUCCGUAGAGUGAGUCUUCAGGCCAACAGAGUCUCUUUAGAUGGACUGGAGACGAGAGACAAUGGGAUACAGGAAAUACACAAGCACACCAGACUGGAAUCUUGGACAGCGAGGCUCAGUUGCUUUUAGUGUAUUUUUAUCUUCUAUAAAGAUCCACUUUUGCUGGGAUUACCUCAUUUUUUUAAGACUUGCAAGUGAGGGUUUAACUAGUUAGUCCGAGAGCGCGCCGCUCUCUAUAAAUAUUUAUUAUCCCUGUUUUUCGGCGAAGCUUCUUUAUUUGUGAACUUCAGCGUUGCGUUUAAUCUUUUUCGGUUACAUUAUGUUCUCUCUUUUUUUUGGGGGGGAAGGGUUUGUGUCCAACUCCCAGAAUUCUGACAGCGAGCCGCCAUCCAAUAGAGACUGAAUUCCUUCGCACGAGAGGGAAGCAGCGUGUUAUAAAGCUUCCCAUUCUCCGAGGUCUCCAGCAGCAGGCUCCUUGUCUGUGGUGGGUCAACCUUUUGACUUUGAAAGGCCAGUGGGGGUUCUGUCCUCUCCCUACUGUUUUUGGAAAUUUGAUAUUCACCCUGAGAACAUCCCUUUGUGACCUGCCUGGCCGGCAUCGGAAUGCCAUUGUUUCAAGUCGAAACUCUCCUUUGCUUGGGUUUUCCCUCUUUACCAAGCCUCCAUUGAGACCCUGAGCUUCCCUCUGCCUUUAAACCAACUGAUGGUGAAUAUGUUUAGUCGGAAUUGGCAGGCUAUUCAAGCGAGGACAAUAGUCGGAGACAAAAGACUUUCCUUUUAAGAAAAUAGGUUUUCUUCUGGAGAGAAAAAGGUCUUUAACCAAUUUUUUGGUCUUCGACACCUCUCUGUUUCCUUGUUCUACCUCUUUUCUCCGUUUUUCUCUCAUUAUUGUGAUAUACACGAAGCUUAAAGUGAAGUUAUUUGUGUCCGCAGAGUUUUUUGUAAAUAACCUGUAUAUUAUGAAUCACUUAUUAACAAUAAAUAUGUUGUAAA